This 342-nucleotide unclassified non-coding RNA is filed under the name soil metagenome. RNAcentral's name for it is "partial contains 5.8S ribosomal RNA, internal transcribed spacer 2, and large subunit ribosomal RNA". The stretch from base 1 to 120 matches the Rfam family "5.8S ribosomal RNA", at positions 35 to 154 of the family's 154-position model. The record is from RNAcentral.
GAUGAAGAACGCAGCGAAAUGCGAUAAGUAAUGUGAAUUGCAGAAUUCAGUGAAUCAUCGAAUUUUUGAACGCACAUUGCGCCCGCCAGCACUCUGGCGGGCAUGCCUGUUCGAGCGUCAUUUCAACCAUCAAGCCCCCAGGGGCUUGUGCUGGGGCCCUGCGGCUGCCCGCAGGCCCUGAAAACCAGUGGCGGGCUCGCUAGUCACACCGAGCGCAGUAGCACAUCUCGCUCAGGGCGUGCGGCGGGCUCCUGCCGUGAAACCCCCCACUGUAACCCCAAAGGUUGACCUCGGAUCAGGUAGGAAUACCCGCUGAACUUAAGCAUAUCAAUAAGCGGAGGA